GUUAGACAUUGCCUGCAAUCGUGGCCAACGUUGGUAUAAUAAAUAACAUUAUAAAAAGAAUUGACACUGGAUGUAUCAAACUAUAUUCAGAUGGAGUCUUCCAUAUAAAGCGAAUUCCUUCUGACAAAGGACAUCUAGAAGUGUACACUGGAAAUUUUUUUACUGCUUUAUGAACAGGUACGUGGAUUUGCUUGACUACCCUGCUUAUAAAAACAUGGUCUUGUUGAUGCACAAAGAAAGUACAAUGGGAGGAACGUGCCUAUCAUGUAGGACGGAGCUACGGAGAUACAGCUGCUGAGAUAUUCAAAUUUACUGGAUGCUGACUUUGUAAGCCCCCGUUU
RNAcentral lists this long non-coding RNA (341 nucleotides) under Calidris pugnax (ruff). RNAcentral's name for it is "lncRNA (ENSCPUG00000017687.1)". Lineage: Eukaryota; Metazoa; Chordata; Aves; Charadriiformes; Scolopacidae. The record is from RNAcentral.